GGCAAGGUGGCCGAGUGGUCUAAGGCGCACGGUUCAGGCAAAACUGAACUCUCUAAACCUCAUACAAGGUUUCCGUGUCAUUAAUUUGGCGUGGGUUCGAAUCCCACCCUUGUCA
Aspergillus hancockii is the source of this 115-nucleotide non-coding RNA. The record is from the annotation of a GenBank genome assembly. Lineage: Eukaryota; Fungi; Ascomycota; Eurotiomycetes; Eurotiales; Aspergillaceae.